UCUGGUGAAUAUACCGUCAGGUGGAUGGCUCGGCUCAAGCGCUGAUGAGGGACGUGCCAAGCUGCGAUAAGCCUCGGGUAGGAGCAUGGAUCCAAUGAACCGAGGAUUUCCUAAUGAGGCCUCUUAAUGCGUUUUACGCAUUGAUCAGUAAUGAUCGGGAACGCUCCGAAUUGAAGCAUCUUAGUAGGAGCAGGAAAAGAAAUCGAAGAGAUGCCGCUAGUAACGGCGAGUGAACACGGCAAAGUUCAAACUGAAUCCCACCAGAAAUGAGUGGGAGAUGUGGUGUUAUAGGCUUUUCCUAAAGGUCCUAGUUAACUGAAAUCGAACUUCUCUGGAACGUGAGACCAUAGAGUGUGAUAGUCACGUAGGUAAAGGUUAACGGAUCUGGGUUAAGUCCUGAGUAGCGUGGGUCGGAAUUCUCGCGCGAAUUUGGGAGGCACCAACUUCCAAAACUAAAUACGACUUGAGACCGAUAGCGAAGUAGUAGGGUGACCGAAAGCUGAAAAGUACCCCAAGAAGGGAGGUAAAAAGCGCCUGAAAUCUGAUGGUGAUAGAGCGUUAUGGCGUGAAAGGAUCUUUGAUACGAAGGAAGCAGUCGCGAGGCUGUUGUACGAGUAUCAUUGCCGACGUCGUAACUUACGUUUUGAAGAACGGGCCAGGGAGUAUAUCCAAGUGGCGAUGGCUAACCUUUUACGUGGGAAGCCGGAGCGAAAGCAACAUGCGCGCAACCUUCGGGCCAGGCGCGGCGUAUACAAGUGCGUGGAGUCACUGGGGUAUGACCCGAAGCCGGGUGAUCUAGGCGUGGGCAGGUUGAAGCGUGGCGAAAGCUACGUGGAGGACCGCAAGCGGUAUUGAUCUGCAAAUCAUUCGCGUGACCUGCGUCUCGGAGUGAAAGGCUAAUCUAACCCGGCAACAGCUGGUUCCUUCCUAAACAUGUCGCAGCAUGACCUGACCGGAGAUAGUCGGUGGAGUAGAGCACUGAUUGGCGAUCCCGGGGGAGAAAUCCUUCGCUCACCUGUCAAACUCCAAACCCACCGUCGUCGUAGAAGGUCGGAGUCCGGGCUACUGGGGUAAGCUUGUAGUCCGUAAGGGAGACAACCCAGCCCGUGGUUAAGGUCCCCAAGUGUCGACUAAGUGUUAACACUAAAGGGCGUCCCAAGCCCAAGACAGCUGGAAGGUUAGCUUAGAAGCAGCUAUCCUUUAAAGAGUGCGUAACAGCUCACCAGUCGAGGUUUGGGGCCCCGAAAAUGGACGGGGCUCAAGUCGACUACCGAUACCACGGAGCACCGCAAGGUGAUCUAGUAGGAAGGCGUUGCGCUCGGGUAGAAGCAGGGCUGUAAAGUCCUGUGGACCGUGCGGAAACGAAAAUCCUGGCAAUAGUAACAGCAAAGUCAGGUGAGAAUCCUGACCACCGAAGGGGCCAGGUUUCCUCGGCAAUGUUCGUCAGCCGAGGGUUAGUCGGUCCUAAGACGUACCGUAAUUCGAGUACGCCGAAAGGGAAACAGGUUAAUAUUCCUGUACCAUUUAGCACUGAGUCUGACGUCUCAGGGCAGGCCGAGCGGCGUCGUCGCGCCGUCUAAGCAGCGAAUCCUGUGGAGAGCCGUAAUGGCGAGAAGCGGGCGAAUCUGUUAUGGCGAUAGUCGGCUGCACCCAGGGACCCGUGAAAAGGCAGCUAAAUGUCCGUACCGAGAACUGACACAGGUGCCCCUAGCUGAAAAGGCUAAGGUGUGUCGGAGUAAACUGGCUAAGGGAAUUCGGCAAAUUGGCUCCGUAACUUCGGGAUAAGGAGUGCCUGCUGUGUAGACAGCAGGUCGCAGUGACCAGAGAGCUCUAACUGUCUAAUAUCAACAUAGGAAAUCGCAAACCUGUAAAGGCUAGUACGAUUUCUGAAUCCUGCCCAGUGCAGGUACCUGAAACCCCGGUUCAACGGGAAGAAGGGCCUGUAAACGGCGGGGGUAACUAUGACCCUCUUAAGGUAGCGUAGUACCUUGUCGCUUAAUUGGCGACUUGCAUGAAUGGAUCAAUGAGAGUUCUACUGUCCCUAGCCAGAGUCCGGUGAACUUUACAUUCUAGUGCACAGUCUAGAGACCUCUAGGGGGAAGUGAAGACCCCGUAGAGCUUUACUGCAGCCUGUCGUUGGGUUGUGGUUUUGGAUGUACAGUGUAGGUAGGAGACGUCGAAGCCGGUGCGCCAGCAUCGGUGGAGUCGCCAUUGGGACACUACCCUUCUGAAAUUACGAUCCUAACUCCAACGGAGGACAUCGAUAGGUGGGCAGUUUGCCUGGGGCGGGACGCCCUUGAAAAGAUAUCAAGGGCGC
RNAcentral lists this ribosomal RNA (2317 nucleotides) under bioreactor sludge metagenome. RNAcentral describes it as "bacterial LSU rRNA". It matches the Rfam family "Archaeal large subunit ribosomal RNA", at positions 1 to 2376 of the family's 2987-position model. The record is from RNAcentral.